Molecule: transfer RNA, 85 nt
Filed under: Felis catus (domestic cat)
Lineage: Eukaryota; Metazoa; Chordata; Mammalia; Carnivora; Felidae
Also listed under: 2 other names
Rfam family: tRNA
About the family: Transfer RNA (tRNA) molecules are approximately 80 nucleotides in length. Their secondary structure includes four short double-helical elements and three loops (D, anti-codon, and T loops).
Source: Rfam by way of RNAcentral
GCCUGGGUGGCUCAGUCGGUUAAGCAUCUGACUUCGGCUCAGGUCAUGAUCUCACAACUUGUGGGUUCAAGCCCCACAUCAGGCU